GAUGAACGCUGGCGGCGUGCCUAAUACAUGCAAGUCGAGCGAAUGGAUUAAGAGCUUGCUCUUAUGAAGUUAGCGGCGGACGGGUGAGUAACACGUGGGUAACCUGCCCAUAAGACUGGGAUAACUCCGGGAAACCGGGGCUAAUACCGGAUAACAUUUUGAACCGCAUGGUUCGAAAUCGAAAGGCGGCUUCGGCUGUCACUUAUGGAUGGCCCCGCGUCGCAUUAGCUAGUUGGUGAGGUAACGGCUCACCAAGGCAACGAUGCGUAGCCGACCUGAGAGGGUGAUCGGCCACACUGGGACUGAGACACGGCCCAGACUCCUACGGGAGGCGGCAGUAGGGAAUCUUCCGCAAUGGACGAAAGUCUGACGGAGCAACGCCGCGUGAGUGAUGAAGGCUUUCGGGUCGUAAAACUCUGUUGUUAGGGAAGAACAAGUGCUAGUUGAAUAAGCUGGCACCUUGACGGUACCUAACCAGAAAGCCACGGCUAACUACGUGCCAGCAGCCGCGGUAA
RNAcentral lists this ribosomal RNA (515 nucleotides) under uncultured bacterium. RNAcentral's name for it is "partial 16S ribosomal RNA". It matches the Rfam family "Bacterial small subunit ribosomal RNA", at positions 28 to 523 of the family's 1533-position model. The record is from RNAcentral.